GUGGGAGGGGGCUUGCCCCCGAUAGCGGUGUGUCAGUCGAUACAUUCGGUACUGAUGCACCGUAAUCGGGGGCAAGCCCCCUCCCAC
Molecule: unclassified non-coding RNA, 87 nt
Filed under: Pseudomonas azotoformans
Lineage: Bacteria; Pseudomonadati; Pseudomonadota; Gammaproteobacteria; Pseudomonadales; Pseudomonadaceae
Also listed under: 5 other names
Source: RNAcentral